Molecule: unclassified non-coding RNA, 375 nt
Filed under: uncultured Actinomycetes bacterium
Lineage: Bacteria; Bacillati; Actinomycetota; Actinomycetes
Description: uncultured actinobacterium contains 16S-23S intergenic spacer region
Source: RNAcentral
UCCCCGUUAUCCUGGGCAGUCCUUCCAGAGUUCCCGGCAUGACCCGUUGGCAACUGGAAGCAGGGGUUGCGCUCGUUGCGGGACUUAACCCAACGUCUCGCGACACGAGCUGACGACAGCCAUGCACCACCUGUACACCGACAAAAAGGGGCACCAUCUCUGGCGCUUUCCGGCGUAUGUCAAACCCAGGUAAGGUUCUUCGCGUUGCAUCGAAUUAAUCCACAUGCUCCGCUGCUUGUGCGGGUCCCCGUCAAUUCCUUUGAGUUUUAGCCUUGCGGCCGUACUCCCCAGGCGGGGCACUUAAUGCGUUAGCUCCGGCACGGGAGGAGUCGACACCUCCCACACCUAGUGCCCAUCGUUUACGGCGUGGACUAC